AAAUAUACUAAACAUACUGAACUGCACACUUUAAAUGGGAGAGUUUUAUGGGCUCGCAGUCAAAAUGAACAUUUGCUCAGUGGAUUCAUGACUAGCCUGUUUCAUCAGACGCCAUAUAUGCUGAGGUUAACCAAACUCGUGAGCAAGCAUAUACUUCAAACAAGAUGAGCAAACGACACACACAGCCAGCCACACCCGUGCACUCCUGAUUCAUGGAACCAAGAGGACAAGAAGCUGCCUCUCUGCUGCCAUAAUGUUUACCAAACUCCGUGCUGAGAUUUUCAUUGACAACCACAAGCAUGCUGAAGCUCACUUUCCUGGAGAACUGUCAUAAUAAAAAGACAUUAACAUCUUAGUAUUUGGGCAAAAUGUUUAACACUCAAACAUUUGUAUUUUUCCUUCAGUUUUCAAAACAACUUUAAAUCUCUCUUUUCAAAACAGUGUUAAAUGAUGUCACUCAU
This 461-nucleotide long non-coding RNA is filed under the name Equus caballus (horse). RNAcentral describes it as "lncRNA (ENSECAG00000060059.1)". The record is from RNAcentral. Lineage: Eukaryota; Metazoa; Chordata; Mammalia; Perissodactyla; Equidae.